AUUGAACGCUGGCGGCAGGCCUAACACAUGCAAGUCGAGCGGAUGAAGGGAGCUUGCUCCUGGAUUCAGCGGCGGACGGGUGAGUAAUGCCUAGGAAUCUGCCUGGUAGUGGGGGAUAACGUCCGGAAACGGGCGCUAAUACCGCAUACGUCCUGAGGGAGAAAGUGGGGGAUCUUCGGACCUCACGCUAUCAGAUGAGCCUAGGUCGGAUUAGCUAGUUGGUGGGGUAAAGGCCUACCAAGGCGACGAUCCGUAACUGGUCUGAGAGGAUGAUCAGUCACACUGGAACUGAGACACGGUCCAGACUCCUACGGGAGGAAGCAGUGGGGAAUAUUGGACAAUGGGCGAAAGCCUGAUCCAGCCAUACCGCGUGUGUGCAGAAGGUCUUCGGAUUGUAAAGCACUUUAAGUUGGGAGGAAGGGCAGUACGUUAAUCCCUUGCUGUUUUGACGUUACCAACAGAAUAAGCACCGGCUAACUUCGUG
RNAcentral lists this ribosomal RNA (484 nucleotides) under uncultured bacterium. RNAcentral's name for it is "partial 16S ribosomal RNA". It matches the Rfam family "Bacterial small subunit ribosomal RNA", at positions 30 to 507 of the family's 1533-position model. The record is from RNAcentral.